GACGAACGCUGGCGGCGUGCUUAACACAUGCAAGUCACGGGGGCCCGCAAGGGCAACCGGCGAACGGGUGCGUAACACGUGAACAACCUGCCCUCGUGUGGGGGAUAGCCAUGCUAACGCGUGGGUAAUACCGCAUACGUUCCCUUGGAGGAGUCUCUGGGGGAGGAAAGCUCCGGCGCACGGGGAGGGGUUCGCGGCCUAUCAGCUAGUUGGCGGGGUAAUGGCCCACCAAGGCGACGACGGGGUAGCNGGUCUGAGAGGAUGGCCAGCCACAUUGGGACUGAGAGACGGCCCAGACUCCUACGGGAGGCAGCAGUGGGGAAUCUUGCGCAAUGGCCGAAAGGCUGACGCAGGCGACGCCGCGUGUGGGAUGAAGCAUUUCGGUGUGUAAACCACUGUUGCCCGGGACGAACAGCCUGUUUCGACAGGUCUGACGGUACCGGGUGAGGAAGCACCGGCUAACUCCGUGCCAG
RNAcentral lists this ribosomal RNA (473 nucleotides) under uncultured bacterium. Its description in RNAcentral is "bacterial SSU rRNA". It matches the Rfam family "Bacterial small subunit ribosomal RNA", at positions 28 to 511 of the family's 1533-position model. The record is from RNAcentral.